GGGCGGGCCUUACAGGCUGGGGCUCCGGGAUUAAGCGCCGGGCAGCCUGGGGCUCGAGGAUUGGACAAGAGACGAACUGAAGGCGGAGGAGCCCCGGGACCAGAACUCUCCCCAACUUCACCUGUUGGGUGCGGUUGACUCGGAGGCGUCCUGGGCUCCCUGCUGGCCUCAGAAUGCGUUCCUGGCCUUACUCACCCUCCACAGUGCCCCAGGAGUAGCGGCGUCCCCUCACCGGUCGGGUCCCGCCGUCCCUCACUACUUCGCAGGAACCGACGACGGCGAAAGGGAUACUUUCCUAGAGGGCAGGAGUCAGCGAUCACCGUUGGCCCCCUUUGGGCAGAAACCUCUUUCUCAGCUCCCGCCUCCACAUCCGCCUCCCCUGGCUUCUCUGUCCCUUCCUCCUUCGCCUCGGCACCUUCAUCUCCGCAUCCUGCCUCUUGAAGUCUUCAUCCUCAUCAGAGUCACAAUCGGGGAACUGAUAGAUAUUGAUGUCCUCCUCCUGCAACUGUUCCCGGAUCUUGGAGGAGACAGAUGCAGAGACGGGGACACGGGUUCGGGCCCUGGUCUGGGAAGAUCCCACAUGCUGCGGAGCAACUAGGCCCGUGAGCCACAACUACUGAGCCUGCGC
This is a long non-coding RNA of Physeter macrocephalus (sperm whale), 628 nucleotides long. RefSeq lists it as uncharacterized. The transcript has 3 exons. The record is from RefSeq and is a predicted model, not a curated record. Lineage: Eukaryota; Metazoa; Chordata; Mammalia; Artiodactyla; Physeteridae.